UUUUUUUUCUCGGGAUACUUGAUUCCUCCCCGCCACCCCAAGGAUGCUUCCAGGCCCAAGUCUAGUGGCUUUGGGAACGCGCAGAGUGGCUGGAUCUGGUGAGUUGAGUCAAGGACAAGGCAGGUUGGGAUGCAUCCAUGGAGGAGACAGCAGCGAGGCACUGGUGUGCACAGGUUGGGCAGGGAGUGGAGCUUGAGGCUUUUUAGCUCUGGAGCACUGUAGGCAAGUGGGGGACAGAUUAAAGCUUCCGGCCAGUAUUUGUGGUUUUGAUUUUAAUUUAUCAGUUUGGCCAAAAUUAGCAACCCUUGUUUAAAAUGCUCAGCUGGCCAGCCAACGUGAGGCAACCUCUGGCUGAGAGGGGAUACAGGCAUUGGGCAGCACAGAAAUGUGUCAGAUUGCAUGAGUGGUCUGCGAUGAGGUGGAAGGGAACGAGAAAGCAGGGCGCUGGUAGGAGAGUUUGAGCCCACAAAGCGAGGUGUUUGUUCCUGGCAUGAGCCAGACCUUUUAACUGAAGUUGUACUUGCUCACGCUCAUCUUUGCUCUAGGGACUGCACAAAUCCGAAAUGGAAGUUGGCAGGUACUGCAGAGAGAUCACAGUCUGCCUCAAUACCGGAGACGAAUAGAUUGGCCAACUGAGCCAGGGAAGAAGGAGGCAGUGGAUAACCCUGUUUCAAAGAAUGUGUUGUGCGUACCUGCCUCUCUUCAGAAGUACUGGGAGCCGGGGGAAGAGUCACACGAUGCUCUUACGCAGCAGGACCUGAGCGAUGCCCAGCGCUGUCAUAUAGUAUACGUGGCAGCUAGGUAUGCUUCUUUCACUGUCAUUUGACUUUCUUCUCAUUCACGUAUUUCUAGGGUGCCUCUGUAUCAUUUUAAGGCAAAUGAAGCUUGUGUGUCUUCUGUCCCAGGUAUGCUGAAUGCUAAGUGGCUUGGGAUGCUGGAUUCCAGUCUAGAAAUAAGGUUUUAGCCAAGUUUCCCUAAUUAAUCCCGCUUUGUAUUGAUGCGCUGGGCCAAGAUGCCAACCCUGCUAGUCCUUUUUAAGGUUCCUGGGAGGUUCUAGGUUUGCAUCCUUGGAGGCAUCUCCCCGUGGUUCAUUCCUAGGGUUGGACGGAGAUGUUAGCUGUGAAUCCUAGGACAGUAGGGCAGAGAGGUCUCCGUGGUUUUUGAGUAAUGCCUUGGCUAGAGCAUGGCCUUUUAGUGCCUGCGUCGUCUUAACAGCAGUAACAGCAGGAGCUGCUCUUUGCAAUUAGUAUUUUG
This 1254-nucleotide long non-coding RNA is filed under the name Struthio camelus australis. RNAcentral describes it as "lncRNA (ENSSCUG00000004076.1)". Lineage: Eukaryota; Metazoa; Chordata; Aves; Struthioniformes; Struthionidae. The record is from RNAcentral.